This is a non-coding RNA of Triticum aestivum (bread wheat), 124 nucleotides long. NCBI's taxonomy places the organism in Eukaryota, Viridiplantae, Streptophyta, Magnoliopsida, Poales, Poaceae. The record is from Rfam.
UUUAUACUCUCUCCGUAUGAAAAUACUUGUUCUAGAAAUGAAUAAAAUAGAUGUGUCUAUAACUAAAAUAAGUCUAGAUACAUCCAUUUCUAAGACAAGUAUUUCCGAACGAAGGGAGUAGGUU